CUCCGUAGGUGAACCUGCGGAGGGAUCAUUACACAAAUAUGAAGGCGGGCUGGAACCUCUCGGGGUUACAGCCUUGCUGAAUUAUUCACCCUUGUCUUUUGCGUACUUCUUGCUUCCUUGGUGGGUUCGCCCACCACUAGGACAAACAUAAACCUUUUGUAAUUGCAAUCAGCGUCAGUAACAAAUUAAUAAUUACAACUUUCAACAACGGAUCUCUUGGUUCUGGCAUCGAUGAAGAACGCAGCGAAAUGCGAUAAGUAGUGUGAAUUGCAGAAUUCAGUGAAUCAUCGAAUCUUUGAACGCACAUUGCGCCCUUUGGUAUUCCAAAGGGCAUGCCUGUUCGAGCGUCAUUUGUACCCUCAAGCUUUGCUUGGUGUUGGGCGUCUUGUCUCUAGCUUUGCUGGAGACUCGCCUUAAAGUAAUUGGCAGCCGGCCUACUGGUUUCGGAGCGCAGCACAAGUCGCACUCUCUAUCAGCAAAGGUCUAGCAUCCAUUAAGCCUUUUUUUCAACUUUUGACCUCGGAUCAGGUAGGGAUACCCGCUGAACUUA
Molecule: ribosomal RNA, 550 nt
Filed under: uncultured fungus
Lineage: Eukaryota; Fungi
Description: eukaryotic LSU rRNA
Rfam family: 5.8S ribosomal RNA (bases 197-350)
Source: RNAcentral